Hypanus sabinus (Atlantic stingray) is the source of this 219-nucleotide small nucleolar RNA. RefSeq annotates it as small nucleolar RNA SNORA53. The transcript has a single exon. The record is from RefSeq and is a predicted model, not a curated record. NCBI's taxonomy places the organism in Eukaryota, Metazoa, Chordata, Chondrichthyes, Myliobatiformes, Dasyatidae.
AAUACAUUCCUUAGAAUCACCUUUGGGAUGUAUCUAUUUUCCUGUUCGGGAUCAUUCUAUGUGAUGGGUCUUCCAUUAUGUUUGUUGGGUAAUCUUCAAUUUUCAUGGCUGUACAAUCAAAGGUGCUUGUGUCAUUGAUGUUGGCAAUGCCUGUUAGUGAAUAGUCUGUUAAUUACCUGCUAUUUACUGCCAUUGGGACUUGGCUAAUUUGUGGACAUU